CACGUAGGGGGCGAGCGUUGUCCGGAAUCAUUGGGCGUAAAGAGCUCGUAGGCGGCUCAGUAAGUCGGGUGUGAAACCCCCAGGCUCAACCUGGGGACGCCACCCGAUACUGCUGUGGCUAGAGUCCAGUAGGGGAGUGUGGAAUUCCCGGUGUAGAGGUGAAAUUCGUAGAUAUCGGGAGGAACACCGGUGGCGAAGGCGGCGACCUGGGUAGAUACUGACGCUGAGGCGCGAAAGCGUGGGGAGCAAACAGG
RNAcentral lists this ribosomal RNA (254 nucleotides) under uncultured bacterium. Its description in RNAcentral is "partial 16S ribosomal RNA". It matches the Rfam family "Bacterial small subunit ribosomal RNA", at positions 524 to 776 of the family's 1533-position model. The record is from RNAcentral.